GUGAGGAAUAUUGGGCAAUAGGGGCAACCCUGACCCAGCCAUGCCGCGUGAAGGAUGAAUGCCCUAUGGGUUGUAAACUUCUUUUGUACGGGACGAAUCCCCCGCACGUGUGCGGGGUUGACGGUACUGUAUGAAUAAGCAUCGGCUAACUCCGUGCCAGCAGCCGCGGUAAUACGGAGGAUGCAAGCGUUAUCCGGAUUCAUUGGGUUUAAAGGGUGCGUAGGCGGAAUGAUAAGUCAGUGGUGAAAGCCUGCAGCUUAACUGUAGAAAUGCCAUUGAUACUGUCGUUCUUGAAUGCGGUUGAGGUAAGCGGAAUAUGUAAUGUAGCGGUGAAAUGCGUAGAUAUUACAUAGAACACCGAUUGUGUAGACAGCUUACUAAGCCGUGAUUGACGCUGAGGCACGAAAGCGUGGGGAUCAAACAGGAUUAGAAACCCCGGUAGUCC
This 445-nucleotide ribosomal RNA is filed under the name uncultured bacterium. RNAcentral's name for it is "bacterial SSU rRNA". It matches the Rfam family "Bacterial small subunit ribosomal RNA", at positions 354 to 796 of the family's 1533-position model. The record is from RNAcentral.